Molecule: ribosomal RNA, 1263 nt
Filed under: metagenome
Description: SSU rRNA
Rfam family: Eukaryotic small subunit ribosomal RNA
Source: RNAcentral
ACUUGGAUAACCGUAGUAAUUCUAGUGCUAAUACAUGCAACGACGCCCGACCGUUUCACUACGGAAGGGCUGUAUAUAUUGGAUACCAAAACCAUCCUUCCCUCGGGAAGUUUUGUUUGAUGAUUCACAAUGACUGAUCGGAUCGCCACUGUGGUGGCGACAGGUCAUUCAACAUUCUGCCCUAUCAGCUUUCGAUGGUUGUGUAGUGGACAACCAUGGCCAUAACGGGUAACGGAGAAUCAGGGUUCGAUUCCGGAGAAGGAGCUUGAGAAUUGGCUACUACAUCUAAGGAAGGCAGCAGGCGCGCAAAUUACCCAAUCCCGAUUCGGGGAGGUAGUGACAAAAAAUAACAAUACCGGGCCUUUUUGGGCUUGGUAAUUGGAAUGAGGGAGAGUUAAACGGACCAUCGAGUAUCCAUUGGAGGGCAAGUCUGGUGCCAGCAGCUGCGGUAAUACCAGCUCCAAUAGCGUAUAUUAAAGUUGUUGCAGUUAAAAAGCUCGUAGUUGGACUUGUGUGCGCUGUCCGCGGGUGGCCUGCGCCCAAAAGGGCGUUUCGGUUCGGCCCCGGUGGCGCCUUGAAAUCUGCAGCUGGGGGGACGUUGGCCUUAACUGGUCGGCGACCGCACGCCGGCUGCUCGGUUACUGUGAGAAAAUUAGAGUGUUCAAGGCAGGCAUUGGGUGCAAUUGAAUACAUUAGCAUGGAAUAAUAAAAUAUGGCUCCUGCCGUAUUUUGUUGGUUUUGACUGGUGGGAGUAAUGAUUGAUAGGGACGGUUGGGGGUGCUAGUAUUGAGCGGCCAGAGGUGAAAUUCAUGGAUUCGCUCAAGACUAACUUAUGCGAAAGCAUUCACCAAGGACGUCCUCUUUAAUCAAGAACGAAAGUUGGGGGAUCGAAGACGAUCAGAUACCGUCGUAGUCUCAACCAUAAACUAUGUCGACUUGGGAUCGGCGGUAGUUUUUUCAUUAAGACACUGUCGGGACCGCGGGAGAAAUCAAAGUGUCUGGACUCUGGGGGAAGUAUGGUCGCAAGGCUGAAACUUGAAGGAAUUGACGGAAGGGCACCACCAGGAGUGGAGCCUGCGGCUUAAUUUGACCCAACACGGGGAAACUUACCAGGUCCAGAGAUGUAGAGGAUGACAGAUUGAAGCUCUUUCUUGAUCACUUCGGUGGUGGUGCAUGGCCGUUCUUAGUUGGUGGAGUGAUUUGUCUGGUUAAUUCCGUUAACGAACGAGACCUCAGCCUGCUAGUGUAGUCGGCUGGAUUGCU